GACGAACGCUGGCGGCGUGCUUAACACAUGCAAGUCGAGCGGAAAGGUCCUUCGGGGUCCUCGAGCGGCGAACGGGUGAGUAACACGUGAGUAACCUGCCCCAGACUUUGGGAUAACCCUCGGAAACGGGGGCUAAUACCGGAUACGACACAGCUUCGCAUGGGGUCUGUGUGGAAAGUUUUUCGGUUUGGGAUGGGCUCGCGGCCUAUCAGCUUGUUGGUGGGGUGAUGGCCUACCAAGGCGACGACGGGUAGCCGGCCUGAGAGGGCGACCGGCCACACUGGGACUGAGACACGGCCCAGACUCCUACGGGAGGCAGCAGUGGGGAAUAUUGCACAAUGGGCGGAAGCCUGAUGCAGCGACGCCGCGUGAGGGAUGACGGCCUUCGGGUUGUAAACCUCUUUCAGCAGGGACGAAGCGUAAGUGACGGUACCUGCAGAAGAAGCGCCGGCCAACUACGUG
This 462-nucleotide ribosomal RNA is filed under the name uncultured bacterium. Its description in RNAcentral is "partial 16S ribosomal RNA". It matches the Rfam family "Bacterial small subunit ribosomal RNA", at positions 28 to 507 of the family's 1533-position model. The record is from RNAcentral.